AGCGAACGCUGGCGGCAGGCUUAACACAUGCAAGUCGAGCGGGCAUCCUUGUGGUGUCAGCGGCAGACGGGUGAGUAACGCGUGGGAACGUGCCCUUCGGUUCGGAAUAACUCAGGGAAACUUGAGCUAAUACCGGAUACGUGCGAGAGCAGAAAGGUUUAUCUGCCGAAGGAUCGGCCCGCGUCUGAUUUGCCAGUUGGUGAGGUUAUGGCUCACCAAGGCGACGAUCAGUAGCUGGUCUGAGAGGAUGACCAGCCACACUGGGACUGAGACACGGCCCAGACUACUACGGGAGGCAGCAGUGGGGAAUAUUGGACAAUGGGGGCAACCCUGAUCCAGCCAUGCCGCGUGAGUGAUGACGGCCUUAGGGUUGUAAAGCUCUUUUAUCCGGGACGAUAAUGACGGUACCGGAGGAAUAAGCCCCGGCUAACUUCGUG
Molecule: ribosomal RNA, 437 nt
Filed under: uncultured bacterium
Lineage: Bacteria
Description: partial 16S ribosomal RNA
Rfam family: Bacterial small subunit ribosomal RNA
Source: RNAcentral